GUGCCAGCAGCCGCGGUAAUACGGAAGGUCCGAGCGUUAUCCGGAUUUAUUGGGUUUAAAGGGAGCAUAGGCGGAAUCGUAAGUCAGCCGUUAAAUAGCGGGGCUCAACCCCGUAGUGCGGUUGAAACUGCGGUUCUUGAGUGCACGAGAGGUAGGUGGAAUUCGUGGUGUAGCGGUGAAAUGCUUAGAUAUCACGAAGAACUCCGAUUGCGAAGGCAGCUUACUGGUGUGUUACUGACGCUGAUGCUCGAAGGUGCGGGUAUCAAACAGGAUUAGAUACCCUGGUAGUCCGCACGGUAAACGAUGGAUGCUCGCGAUUUGGUCAUUGUGAUUGAGUCGCCCAGCGAAAGCGUUAAGCAUCCCACCUGGGGAGUACGCCGGCAACGGUGAAACUCAAAGGAAUUGACGGGGGCCCGCACAAGCGGAGGAACAUGUGGUUUAAUUCGAUGAUACGCGAGGAACCUUACCCGGGCUUGAAAUGUACCUGACGGCUCAGAGAGACCUGAGCUUUCUUCGGACAGGUAUGUAGGUGCUGCAUGGUUGUCGUCAGCUCGUGCCGUGAGGUGUCGGCUUAAGUGCCAUAACGAGCGCAACCCUUAUCGCUGGUUACCAUCAAUUCGGUUGGGGACUCCAGCGACACUGCCAUCGCAAGAUGUGAGGAAGGCGGGGAUGACGUCAAAUCAGCACGGCCCUUACGUCCGGGGCUACACACGUGUUACAAUGGGGGGCACAGCAAGUUGGAUGGCGGCGACGCUGUCCGAAUCCUCAAAUCCCCUCCCAGUUCGGACUGGAGUCUGCAACCCGACUCCACGAAGCUGGAUUCGCUAGUAAUCGCGCAUCAGCCAUGGCGCGGUGAAUACGUUCCCGGGCCUUGUACACACCGCCCGU
RNAcentral lists this ribosomal RNA (888 nucleotides) under uncultured bacterium. RNAcentral's name for it is "bacterial SSU rRNA". It matches the Rfam family "Bacterial small subunit ribosomal RNA", at positions 505 to 1397 of the family's 1533-position model. The record is from RNAcentral.